RNAcentral lists this ribosomal RNA (497 nucleotides) under uncultured bacterium. RNAcentral describes it as "partial 16S ribosomal RNA". It matches the Rfam family "Bacterial small subunit ribosomal RNA", at positions 28 to 507 of the family's 1533-position model. The record is from RNAcentral.
GAUGAACGCUGGCGGCGUGCCUAAUGCAUGCAAGUCGAGCGAACAGACGAGGAGCUUGCUCCUUUGACGUUAGCGGCGGACGGGUGAGUAACACGUGGGUAACCUACCUAUAAGACUGGGAUAACUUCGGGAAACCGGAGCUAAUACCGGAUAAUAUUUCGAACCGCAUGGUUCGAUAGUGAAAGAUGGCUCUGCUAUCACUUAUAGAUGGACCUGCGCCGUAUUAGCUAGUUGGUAAGGUAACGGCUUACCAAGGCAACGAUACGUAGCCGACCUGAGAGGGUGAUCGGCCACACUGGAACUGAGACACGGUCCAGACUCCUACGGGAGGCAGCAGUAGGGAAUCUUCCGCAAUGGGCGAAAGCCUGACGGAGCAACGCCGCGUGAGUGAUGAAGGUCUUCGGAUCGUAAAACUCUGUUAUUAGGGAAGAACAAACGUGUAAGUAACUGUGCACGUCUUGACGGUACCUAAUCAGAAAGCCACGGCUAACUACGUG